GAUGCACUAUUGUAAAGUGGCUGUUCCACUGGAUGUCAUAAGGUGAAUGCACCAAUUUGUAAGUCGCUCUGGAUAAGAGCGUCUGCUAAAUGACUUAAAUGUAAAUGUAAAUGUAAUGUAAUGUGAUAUGUUACAGGUCCUUGAGGGAGAUGGAGGGAUAAAUAACUUUGGGUGGUGAUAUGUUACUGGUCCUUGAGGGAGAUGGAGGGAUAAAUAACUUUGUGUGGUGAUAUGUUACAGGUCCUUGAGGGAGAUGGAGGGAUAAAUAACUUUGUGUGGUGAUAUGUUGCAGGUCCUGGAGGGAGAUGGAGGGAUAAAUAACUUUGUGUGGUGAUAUGUCACAGGUCCUUGAGGGAGAUGGAGGGAUAAAUAACUUUGUCUGGUGAUAUGUUACAGGUCCUUGAGGGAGAUGGAGGGAUAAAUAACUUUGUGUGGUGAUAUGUUACAGGUCCUUGAGGGAGAUGGAGGGAUAAAUAACUUUGUGUGGUGAUAUGUUACAGGUCCUUGAGGGAGAUGGAGGGAUAAAUAACUUUGUGUGGUGAUAUGUUACAGGUCCUUGAGGGAGAUGGAGGGAUAAAUAACUUUGUGUGGUGAUAUGUUACAGGUCCUUGAGGGAGAAGGAGGGAUAAAUAACUUUGUGUGGUGAUAUGUUGCAGGUCGUUGAGGGAGAUGGAGGGACACACCAUCAGAGGAGAAUCAAAUCAAAUCAAAGUGUAUUUGUCACGUGCGCCGAAUGCAACAGGUCUAAACCUUAAAGUGAAAUACUUACUUACAGGCUCUAACCAAUGGUUCCAAAAAAAGGUGUGUGUGUGUAGGUAAGUAGGGAAAUAAAACAACAGUAGAAAGACAUUUGAAAAAAAGGGUUGCAAGGCUAUAUACAGACAACUGUUAGUCAGGCUUAUUGAGGUAGUAUGUACCUGUGACUGUGCAUAUAUGAUGAACAGAGAGUAGCAGGACCGUAAAAAGAGGGGUUGGCGGGUGGUGGGACACAAUGCAGAUAGCCCGGUUAGCCAAUUUGCGGGAGCACUGGUUGGUCGGGCCAAUUUAGGUAGUAUGUACAUGAAUGUAUAGUUAAAGUGACUAAGCAUAUAAGAUAAACAGAGAGUAGCAGCAGCAUAAAGGAGGGGUUGGGUGGGGCACACAAUGCAAAUAGUUGGUUACCUGUUCAGGAGUCUUAUGGCUUGGGGGUAAAAACUGUUGAGAAGUCUUUUUGUCCUAGACUUGGCACUCCGGUACCGCUUGCCAUGCGGUAGUAGAGAGAACAGUCUUUGACUGGGGUGGCUGGGGUCUUUGACAAUUUUUAGGGAUUUCCUCUGACACCGCCUGGUGUAGAGGUCCUGGAUGGCAGCUUUGCCCCAGUGAUGUACUGGGCUGUACGCACUACCCUCUGAAGUGCCUUGCGGUCGGAGGCCGAGCAAUUGCCGUACCAGGCAGUGAUGUAACCGGUCAGGAUGCUCUCGAUGUUGCAGCUGUAGAACCUUUUGAGGAUCUCAGGACCCAUGCCAAAUCUUUUUCGUUUCCUGAGGGGGAAUAGGCUUUGUUGUGCCCUCUUCACAACUGUUGGUGUGUUUGGACCAAUCUAGUUUGUUGUUGAUGUGGACACCAAGGAAUUUGAAGCUCUCAACCUGCUCCACUACAGCCCCGUCGAUGAGAAUGGGACGUGCUCGGUGCUCCUUUUCCUGUAGUCCACAAUCAUCUCCUUAGUCUUGGUUACAUUGAGGGAUAGGUUGUUAUUCUGGCACCACCCGGCCAGGUCUCUGACCUCCUCCCUAUAGGCUGUCUCGUCAUUGUCCGUGAUCAGGCCUACCACUGAUGUGUCGUCAGCAAACUUAAUGAUGGUGUUGGAGUCGUGUCUGGCCAUGCAGUCAUGGGUGAACAGGGAGUAGAGGAGGGGACUGAGCACACACCCCUGGGGAGCUCCAGUGUUGAGGAUCAGCGUGGCAGAUGUGUUGCUACCUACCCUUACCACCUGGGGGCGGCCUGUCAGGAAGUCCAGGAUCCAGUUGCAGAGGGAUGUGUUUAGUCCCAGGAUCCUUAGCUUGGUGAUGAGCUUUGAGGGUACUAUGGUGUUGAACGCUGAGCUGUCGUCAAUGAACAGCAUUCUCACAUAGGUGUUCCUUUUGUCCAGGUGGGAAAGGGCAGUGUGGACUGCAAUAGAGAUUGCAUCAUCUGUGGAUCUGUUUGGGCGGUAUGCAAAUUGGAGUGGGUCUAGGGUUUCUGGGAUAAUGGUGUUGAUGUGAGCCAUUACCAGCCUUUCAAAGCACUUUAUGAUUUGAAGCAGGAGCAAUCUGGGAACAUGGGUUAUGCAUGCUCGACACACGCAAGCACACACACACAUUCAGGCAUGCUCAAACACACAUACAUCCACACAAACACACAAAUACAGAAAGUAAUAUUCCAAAAUGUGAAGUAUUCCAAAAACACAUGUUUCAUGUGAUCACAUCUGAUGAAGUGAUCUUAUUUGAAGUUAAUGUGAUAACAUGUGACGACAUGAAACUACACGUAUGAAAACGUGAUUUCACGUUACAUUUCUCAUGUGUUUUUCUGUGAGGGACACACACAUAAUAACACCUUGUACAUGAAGAAUUUGUAUGUUAUUUUAAUUUACCAGAUAAAUACAACAAAUAUAUUCUAUUUAACCAUGUGUGUAUUACUGUAACAGCUUAAAUAAAUGAUAUGUUGUAAUGAUGAUACAUCUUAUAAACAGCUACAGUAAUUCUAUCUGCAUUUCAUUGUGUAUUGAAUUGUUGGGUUGUAAAUCUACUGAAAUGCUUUAGCAUUGAUUCAUUCAGAUGAUAGAAUAACAUAACAUAUUAACAUGUAGCAAUAACAUAUACAUGUUUGCUUCUAAUGACCUGUACUUUUACAAUAUCUUUGCAUUGUGCUUUUUAAAUCAACUUUUUAUUUUAUCCACCAGAUGGAAUGUAUGCUUUGUUACAGUAAACAGAUAUUGUCCUCAUGGUCAACUGUUCCAUACAACCAACCUACUUUGGUCAGCUCUCCUUUCAGCCUAAUAGAGUUCUUGUUGCUCCUCAACAUUACAGGAAAAGUGUUAGGAAGGAAACAUUUCAGUGUUUAAACAACAUUGUUGACAGCCUCACUCUAUAAUGAAAUGUUAGGCAUUACAUUGGAUACUGACUUUAAUACACAAAGAAUACCCCUAGUAAUAGAAUACAAUACAAUAUAAUGCAAUACAAUAAAAUUCUCCAAACUAGUACUUUAGGUUGAUCAGUUAUAGUUCAGUUGUAUCAUCAGGAAAUACUAACAGAAAUACAGAUCAAGAACUUGAGCCACAUGACAUCCUUUCUCUGAUAAAAAAUAUAGUGAUGUGCAACAUUUUAUAACCCCCCUCAUCUAAGAUAGUAAUGACCUCACACUAUACUUUAACAUUAAACUACUGUAGUUCUACAACCAACACACACAAAUGCCUGUAAUGUGUUUAAUAAAUUGAAAAAUGAAAUGUGGACACUCAAGCCUGAUUGCAAAGGGAUCUUCCAAGUAAACACAGGUCAGACUCAUAAGUCAUAAUGUGAUAUAACAUGGUAACAAUAUUGAAUGUUUCCAUACUGUUCUGAAUUCCAAGUGCUAACCUACAUGUCAACAAUGUUGUUUAAACACUGAAAUGUUUCCUUCCUAACACUAUGCAUGACUAACAGGUAUUGCAUAUUGCCUACUAAUCCAACAGACAAGGUCAAGGUGAUUUAUGACAUUAGUCGUUGUCUGACUCUGACUACUAUUUUCAGUGUUCCUGCAUGGUUGGUAAGACCACUGUUCCAGUUAGGGGCUGUAUGUGUCUAUGUGUUUAGACCUAUGUGGUCAGACAGACAGCAGAUGUCAUAGUGUCACUGCCAUAUAAUUAGGAAUUAGAAUACUAGAAUGGACAUAAACUCUCCUAUGAUGGGAUGAAUGGCAGCCAUUUUGGUCAAGGAGUUGUUCAAUCAUGGUUUGCUAGUUCUGUGAUAAGAUAUUGUGUAGAAUAAUGAAUUUGAAGAGUUAAUCUGCACUGUAUGUUUGUUAGCUAGCUAGCCAGACAGAUUUACAUAGAAAAACAAGUGUGGUGUUUGCAUUUCCACAUAGUUGAUUUGACAGAGCAAACAUUUAUAAUAAUGGUUAGGAGAAGGAAUCAUAAAUCUAAAUGUAAGUAAAUGAACACAGUUGUAGUUAUUUUCCAAACUCUACUGGUUUCUUGUAGAAGCUGUUUCCAGACCAGUCAUGGAGGUGGUGUCUCUCUACUCCAACUCUAUUGCUGGAAUCUGUGGCGUCACAUUGAACUGUUCAGUUACAGAUGUGUGGAUGUUGUCUGUCUGUGAUGGAGGUCAGUGCACACUGUCACAGCAGACUCUGUCACACACCAGAGUCAACAUCACCACCUCCAAAGACAACGGGACUAUCCAAUGAACCGGCAGAAAUCAUGUCAGUGCAGAGACCAACUCUCUUCGCAUGGAGGACAUAUUCAAGUCUAAAAUACCAGCCUCCACCUUCUGUGCGUACCUCUUUCAUUGUAUUAUAUGCUAGUACUUUAAAUAAUAUAAUAAUUGUGUGUGUGUGUGUGUGUGUGUGUGUGUGUGUGUGUGUGUGUGUGUGUGUGUGUGUGUGUGUGUGUGUGUGUGUGUGUGUGUGUGUGUGUGUGUGUGUGUGUGCGUGUGUGUGUGUGUGUAACCGCUCAGGUAUUGGAGAGAAGAAGGGGCGUGCUACAUAACCACCAGUUAGGACCAUUUGUCUCAUCUCCUAACACGUCAACCCAUUGAGCUCAACCAGCGGAGAAGCUGGAACCACAGAACACAGAGGGUCCUGAGGUAACAUUAACCUACGACACUGCAGGAAACCAGGAUCCGCAGUAACGGAAGGGGCAGCAGCAGCAGUACAAGAGGGCCAGACAGAGGCAAUCUACAGUAAUUUGCAGCAACCAGCAGUAGAAUACCGCCACCUGGUGGACAAAGUGAGCAUUGCUCCAGAAAAUAGUCCAGAAGCACGUGGCACAGCAACAGUCUACAGCACAAUACAGAAACCAGCUGCACAAUGUACUGCACAAUAGGAUAUACAUUACCCACUGAUAUUUCAGCCACACCCAUUACUUAUAGGUGUAUAAAAUCUAGCACUCAGCCAUGCAAUCUCCAUAGACAAACAUUGGCAGUAGAAUGGCCUUACUGAAGAACUCAGUGACUUUCAACAUAGCACCAUCAUCGGAUGCCACCUUUCCAACAAGUCAGUUCUUCAAAUUUCUGCCCUGCUAGGGCUGCCCCGGUCAACUGUAAGUGCUGUUAUUGUGAAGUGCAAACGUUGAAGCCACACAAGCUCACAGAGUGGGACUGCUGAAUAUUGAAGCGCGUAGCACGUAAAAAUCAUCCCUCUUCGGUGUGGAAGAACUUGACUGGCCUGCACAGAGCCCUGACCUCAACCCCAUUGAACAUCUUUGGGAUGAACCCCAUUGAACAUCUUUGGGAUGAAUAGGAAUGCAGACUGCCCAACAUCAUUGCCCGACCUCAAUAAUGCUCUUAUGGCUGAAUGGAAGCAAAUCGCAGCAGCAAUGUUCUAACAUCUAGUGGAAAGCAGCAAAGGGUGACCAGCUCCAUAUUAAUGCUUAUGAUUUUAGAAUGUUUGAAGAGAAGGUGUCAACAUACUUUUGGUCAUGUAGCCAUGUAGCCCGAGCCAUUAUCAAGGCUCGGGUCAAUUCGAAUUUGUUGACAGUCAAUUCAGGAAGUGAUAUGAAUUGAACAUCUUAAAAUAGUAAACGUUUUCACAUAAAUAUCUUCUCCUGUUCAGCUUACUGAGAAGGUAUCAGAGACAACGUUGUUGAGCACCAGAAACUGAAUAUAUAACGUCCUCAGUUGUCCACAUUACAAUAAUGUUAUACUGUCUAGUAUAGUGAACAUCCAAUACACUCCACUAGGUGUCUCAUUAAUCUCAAUAUUCAAAUAUACUAUAAACUCCAACUAUUGUCUGUUAGUGUUGUUAUUUUCAGUGUUAAUGUAAUCAAUCAACGUCAUAUAAGCCUGAUUUGGUGAGUCACUAGAAAAAAUGGGAUCAGACAAUGUCAGUUACAAAACUUAGAGAGUGACAAUAUAAAAAGAGUCUAUAAGUGUAUAUAAUGCACUUGUGAUGAUUUAUUUCAUAUAUUUCUUAGUGGAAACAUCUAGACAACAUGCACAAAUGUUUCAGUGUUCACUUUCAUCAGUAUGUGAUAAACACUUCACAACAAAGAUAUCAUGAAAGCAUUCAAUAGGGGACAUUUACUAUAUAAAUUGUCAUUUACAUGUUUUUAAUUGUGAAAUGCCCCAUAGUUGUUAUCUAAUAAUGUGUGACAAUAGAUUUUGAUUGUUAGGUUCCCAUACAUAAAAAGAAAAAUCUAUGAUAUGUUCGGAUACAAUGCAAUUCCAAAAAAACAUAUUUCACAUAGACUCAAAUUAAUUUACUAAGUAGAUUACAUACAUGCACAUGAAACAAGUUAUUGACAGAAGAUUGGUAUUAUUGUAGGCAUGACAUUACUUUGGUGAAAUGAAAAUUGAAAUAUGGUCCUCCUUACAUCAUAUAAUCUGGAUAAGACAAAAUGUACAGUAUUUCUUGAAGAGAAAUAGCAGGAACGCUUUUUCUUGUAAUCUCUUUUCUAUCCUGUUCAUGUGUUUUUUCCACGUAUAAUUAUUUUGCUUUACUUUAUCUCAGUACUACUUUCCCUAGUAAUCUUUCCACCCUUUCUUCACACCAGCUUUACAUUUAUCCAAAUCUCCCUUGUGUUCCUCAGCUCUAUUCUUCAUCUCCUCCAGUUUCUGAACCUUCUCUGUGUCUCCUGUCUCCUUCAUCUUGUCGAUCAGGAAGUCCAGAUGCACUGCUGAGCAGUGGACAGUGAGAGGGCCUUUAGGACUUUCUCUUCCAGUUUGAUGACAUACUGGUACGACUCCUCCAACAGUCUGUCCUUCUCAAGAGAGCUGCUCCAACUCUGUCUGAAGUCCACUGAACAGACUCCCUUUCUCUACAGCCACUUUCUCAUUGAUUUCAUACUUUUCAAUUGCUCGUAUUUGUCCAGAAAAGCGAUCUGGUCUUGCUAACAUACAUUUAAUAUACUUUGACAUGCUUGGUGUAGUGAAAUGUGGUUUUAUACACAGUGCAGGGGUUGUUCUUCACCACACUACACUAUAACACACCAGAAGCCUGGAAAGUGGCAGUUCUCCUCACAAACACUGCAGGACAUUGCCUGUUUAGUUAAAUGCCCCAUUCUAUGGGGACUUUCUCUUUGUAAGGUUCUUCAACAGUAUAUGUAAAGUCCUUAUUUUCCUCCAUGUCUUUCUUGUGUUCCUCCAGGGUUCUUUGUGUCUGUUUGAUCUGAUCCUGCUUCAGAUCAAUCAUGUGGAUUCACCCACGUAAGAUGUUGCCAAAUGCCUCCAGUUGUUUGUGUUCUCUGAACUUCUUCAGUAAUCCUCACAUUUGUAGGUGUUUUUCCACUCUGGAACUCAGAGAAACUCAUGCCCUCCUCUGACAGGUUCCAUGCAGGUAGCCUAGCUACCUUAGAGAGUUGACCCAGCAACCGGAGGGUUUAGAUAAACAUGUUACAUUAUCAUUCAUUCUAAACACAAUGUGAUUUCAGUGACAAAAACAUGUCAUGUUGAUUCAAAUGGAUUUACAAAGAAUGUCAUAUAUGCAAGCUAUUGAUGAAAGUGUGUUAUUAGUGUAGGCAGAUCCAUCAUCUGAGGUUAUGAUUAAGAAAGAAAACAUAGCAUUGGUUAAUCUCAUACAACAUAUGUGGUUGACAUUAAAUGUACAGUAGUAUUUCUUGAAGAGAAAAAGGAUUAAGAAGAACAGUUUUCAUUUCCACCCUGCAAAUGUUUUCUAUCCUAUGUUCAUGUUCACAUUUUCUUUACACCAGCUUUAAAGUAAUCUAAAGCUCCUUUGUAUUCCUCCUCAGCUCUCUUCUUCAUCUUCUCCAGUUUGUGAAUCUUCUCUAUGUUUCCUGUCUCCUUCACCUUCUCAAUCAGGAAGUCCAGAUGCUGAGCAGUGGACAGUGAGCUGGUCUUUAAGGCUUUCUCUUCCAGGUUGAUGAGACACUGGUAUGAUUCUUCCACCAGUCUGGCUUUCUCAGAUGUGAACUGCUUCAACUCUGACUGAAGUCUGCUGAUCUGAGUCUCUUUCUCCCCAGCCGAUGUCUUAUUGAUUUCAUACUUAUCUUUCAAUUUCUCAUUCGUCCUUGUAACCUGCCUGGUCAUAAAAACAUACUUUUUCUUUUCUUUGACAUGUUUGGUGUAGUGACAUUUCCCAGUACACCUUGUGCAGUGAUAGUUCUUCAUCACAGUACACCAUGAGAGAUCUUUGACCCACCAGCAGCCUGGAAAGUGGCAGUUCUCCUCACAGACUGUGCAAGUGGUAGCCUCACCCUCUGUUGUAUCAGCCUUUCCUUUGCAUUUCUCCUCAACAGUGUAUAAAAAGUCCUUGUUUUCCUCCAUGACUUUCUUAUGUUUAUCGAGUGCUUUUUGAGUCUGCUUGAUUUCAUUCUGUUUCAGAUCAAUCAGGUGGACCUGCUUGCGUAUGUUGCUGACACACUCCUCCAGGUGUUUCUGAUCUCUCAGAACUCCUUCAGUCAUCUUCACGUUUUGAGGUGUAAUUCUACCCAGGAACUCUGUGAAUUCCUUCAUGCUCUCCUCUGAUAAAUCCCAUAAAUUCUUCAAGAUACGUUCUUCUUUCUUGGCCUGGGUUGCUUUUGCAGAGGUGACACUCUUUCUUUGAGAGUUGUUGAAUAGGAAAUAAAUAGAUUGAUUGCUGUCAUCUUUUGCACAGGGGACAUGAGCAUCUUCUAAGGCCUGUAGAGCAUCAGCAGGUUCAAAACCAUCUGAGUGUGUGAUGAGGGCCACGAUGUUCUUCUCCAUGUCUUUGCCAAAGAUAGACAAGACUGAAUCAAAUAUGUACUUCUGUUCAACAGUGAUUCGAUUUGCACUUGCCUUCACCAAUACACCAACAGCAUCAAUUUGAUGGACUCCGUAUUCAGAUCCAAACAACUCAAAUAGUUUUUUAGCGAUUAGUUGGUCUGCUUGAAUCCCUCUGGUGUCUCCAUACCCAGGAGUGUCGAUGAUGGUGAGAGAGUAGGGCACUUUAAUUCCCUCAAACCCAAAUACAUCAUAUACAGUAAUCACUGUAGUUUGAAUUACACUCUGACAUUUUCCCUCUUUUUCUUCCUCCACAAUCUCAAACCAGACUUUGUCCGCCUGUUUUACACCCAGGAAAUAAUUGACUAUGGAAUUGAUCAGAGUUGACUUCCCUGUUCCUGUCUCUCCCACUAUCAGAACGGUUCUGUUAACCUUGGUGGAAUCUCUCUCUCCAAAGGUCCAUCUUCUGAGCAGGCCUUCAUCAUCUAGAUUCUGUUUCUUUGUUUCCAGCUGAUACCUUGCAGGAGGUCCUUCGUCAAUAAGGUUACUUGCAAUCGUGUCUUGAAUGUUUGACGAUGUGUGUCUAAUCAUGGGAAAUAAAUUAACAUAUGUUAUAAUAUGAAAUGUACUUAAUCAUUUUGUUUUACUGUAAAGGAAGAAUCAUAAGUUCUCUGAGAGAUCUCAGAGAUCUGAAAGCAAAAAGAUGAAGAAUUUACCAAUAAGGCAAUUUGUUUUGCUUAAAAUACUAUAUAGCUUUCAACCAAUCCCAUAAAUCAAAUCAAGUGGACUGUGGGGACGGGUUUUCCGGAUCCAGAUGAAGCCAUUUCCUCGACAAAAAAACCCACUUUCAAUGGAGAUUCUCCAUUCAGCAUGCAUUUUAGACGAGAGUUGGGCUUAAUCUGGGACUGAUAAAACGGCCUAUAGAGUUUUGCGGUUUGCAUCUGUCAAUAAUCUAUAAAACAUUCUACCUGUCCGUAAAAUGUAUAUCGUUACAAAACUUUUGUGAAACAGCACAGUUAAAAAUAUAUGGCAAAUAGAAAUCAAUCUGGAU
This is a long non-coding RNA of Oncorhynchus nerka (sockeye salmon), 9900 nucleotides long. RefSeq lists it as uncharacterized. NCBI's taxonomy places the organism in Eukaryota, Metazoa, Chordata, Actinopteri, Salmoniformes, Salmonidae. The transcript has 2 exons. The record is from RefSeq and is a predicted model, not a curated record.